UGGGCUCUUCGUGGGUUGGUAUUUAGAUUGUCCUAGGUGAUGGCUUUAUAAAUACUUUCGGUAGUGAAUUUUCCAUUACUAUUUAAUUUUCAGUAUGGAAAAUAUUCCCUGGUGGAUGAAGUGAGGGGUGUGUGGAGCUGAGGAUUAUUUGGAGGAUGUUUUCAGGGAUCUGGAUGGAAAGGAUGGAAAGGUUCUAAGCUACAUUGGACACCACAUCCUUCACUUUGAAACCAUCUUCAUAUAGGGUUAAUGGCCCAUGGAUGUGGCUCCUAAUAGGGUCAGUAUGAGGCAGCCAAGAGUCAUAAAAGCUGGCUUUAUCGCCUUGGUGAAUAGACCAUGCUAUGCCCCUUCUGCAGUCUCUCCACCCCCC
Molecule: long non-coding RNA, 370 nt
Filed under: Capsicum annuum
Lineage: Eukaryota; Viridiplantae; Streptophyta; Magnoliopsida; Solanales; Solanaceae
Description: long non-coding RNA (CANN_LNC003000)
Source: RNAcentral